This 465-nucleotide ribosomal RNA is filed under the name Vreelandella stevensii. RNAcentral describes it as "partial 16S ribosomal RNA". It matches the Rfam family "Bacterial small subunit ribosomal RNA", at positions 338 to 795 of the family's 1533-position model. The record is from RNAcentral. Lineage: Bacteria; Pseudomonadati; Pseudomonadota; Gammaproteobacteria; Oceanospirillales; Halomonadaceae.
CCUACGUGAGGCUGCAGUGGGGAAUAUUGGACAAUGGGCGAAAGCCUGAUCCAGCCAUGCCGCGUGUGUGAAGAAGGCCUUCGGGUUGUAAAGCACUUUCAGUGGGGAAGAAAGCCUUGGGGCUAAUACCCUCGAGGAAGGACAUCACCCACAGAAGAAGCACCGGCUAACUCCGUGCCAGCAGCCGCGGUAAUACGGAGGGUGCGAGCGUUGAUCGGAAUUACUGGGCGUAAAGCGCGCGUAGGCGGUCUGAUAAGCCGGUUGUGAAAGCCCCGGGCUCAACCUGGGAACGGCAUCCGGAACUGUCAGGCUAGAGUGCAGGAGAGGAAGGUAGAAUUCCCGGUGUAGCGGUGAAAUGCGUAGAGAUCGGGAGGAAUACCAGUGGCGAAGGCGGCCCUCUGGACUGACACUGACGCUGAGGUGCGAAAGCGUGGGUAGCAAACAGGAUUAGAUACCCGGGUAGUC